AAAAAGAUGCCUGAUUAAAGGAAUAUUCUGAUAGAAUAUCUCAUGAAAAUAAAAUUUCUCUUUUUA
RNAcentral lists this transfer RNA (66 nucleotides) under Sogatella furcifera (white-backed planthopper). RNAcentral's name for it is "tRNA-Ile". Lineage: Eukaryota; Metazoa; Arthropoda; Insecta; Hemiptera; Delphacidae. The record is from RNAcentral.